CGCGUAGGCGGUUUGGUCAGUUGGAUGUGAAAGCCCAGGGCUUAACCUUGGAACUGCAUUCAAUACUGCCAGGCUAGAGUACGGUAGAGGGGGGUAGAAUUCCACGUGUAGCGGUGAAAUGCGUAGAGAUGUGGAGGAAUACCAGUGGCGAAGGCGGCCCCCUGGAUCGAUACUGACGCUGAGGUGCGAAAGCGUGGGGAGCAAACA
RNAcentral lists this ribosomal RNA (207 nucleotides) under uncultured bacterium. RNAcentral's name for it is "partial 16S ribosomal RNA". It matches the Rfam family "Bacterial small subunit ribosomal RNA", at positions 568 to 774 of the family's 1533-position model. The record is from RNAcentral.